CUUCAUUUUCCACUCAGUUCCUCCGGCCAAAAAACCUUGGGAUCAUCUUUGACUCCUGUCUCUCUCUCUCUUUCAUAAUCUCAAGCUCUCUUUCUCUCCACCCCACCCUUACCCCCCAUUUACCAUCAGCAAAUACUGUUGGUUCUACUUCCAAAAUAUACCAGCAGUUUGACCCCUUCUCCACCUGAACUGCCCACCUGUAUGAGUGCAUCAGCCUCCUCAUGGUUCUCCUGCUUCCCCCUCGGCCCCCUGGAAUCCAUUCUCUAUGCAGCAGCCAGAGUGACCCUGUUAGAACUUAGGCCAGAUCCUGCACUUCUCUGCCCAAAACCCAGCAAUGGCUCCCAGUUCAUUCAGGGUCAAAGCAGAGUCCUGCCUGGGGCCCCCGCUUGCUCCCUCUCUGCCCUCAGCUCCUGCCACCCCCCAUCUUGCCCACUGACCUCCAUCAUACCAUGUGUAUUCCCACCUCAGGACCUUUGCACUUGCUCUUCCUUCUCCCCAGUAUCUACUUCCUUCUGGUAUUUACAUCGAUCCAAUGUCACCUGCUCAGAGAGACUUUCCCUUACCUCCCCGCCCCAUCCUCUCCCCACUGGGUUGUUCUUUCCCUGCUCUGUUGCUCCUCAGCAACUAUUCCCAUGUGACCUUAUGUUAUACAUGUAUGUGUCUGUUACUAGAACGUAACCCGCACUAGGGCAGAGCCCUGCCUGUCUUCUCACUGCUGUAUCCCUGAUGCUCAAUAAACGUUUGUUGAAUGAAAAGCUAGAUGGAUGGAUUCCAUGAAGGGACAGCAAGUACUAAACACCUGGUCUGUAUCAGGUUCUGUGCUGGGUGCUGAGGCGACACAUGUGAACAGGACCUCCUGUGCCACCCACAGAGCCCUAGUCUGAGGAGGGAGACAGACGCCAAGCCAGAAAUCACGAAGCAGGUGGAAUGGGGUGGUGUCCGGGAAUGAGCUCAGAGGAGGAAUUGGUCCAGUCGGUCCGAGGGAGCUUCCUGAAGGAGGGGGCAUACUCAGAGCCACCUGGGAGCUCAGUUUUCCCAUCAGUGGACUCCUGACUAUGUGCCUUUUCUGCUGCGUGUCCUGCCUCACAGAGAGGUCACUCCCUCAGGGAGCAGCGAGGCAGGGAAGACAAUGAAAGGGGCAGCCUGGCUGUCCCCAACGGAGGCCAGCCCUGGAGCAUGCCUGGUUCUCCACUUGAGGGGCCACCCAACUUUGGCCUCACACUCGGCUGAGCACCACAGCCCUGAGACAGGCCUGCGAAGCUGGAGAAGCCAAGGCUCAGAGCAGAGAGGUGACUGGCAGCCACAUUACCACAUAGCUGGUAAGUGGCAGACAAGGGACUUGAAUCCAGACCUACCUGUCCCCACUCCCUGCUGUCCUUUCGUGAGACUGAGCCACCUGUGGGUGGGUCAGGUCUCGGGGAGCCAGGAUCGCACAGGUCCAUCGCACAGGUGUGAUGAACCUGCUCAUGCCAGGCUCUGAGAUUGAGUCCCAUGCCCCCACCGCAGGGCUGCCGUGAUCAAGGCCACUUCCUCCUUUGGGGGAGGUGAGUCAGGCCUCUGGAAACCCGCUAAGCCUCUCCCCUUGGCUGGAACUUCUCUGAAGACUCUGGAAGCUCCUGGAAUAUUCCAGGUUUAUUGACUCCCUGGAGCCUCCCAACCACCCCUCAAACAGGGGCUGUCGUUAUCCCCAUUUGACAGGUCGGGAGACUGAGGCUCGGAGAGGAGCAGUUACCCAGGGGAGACACACAGGUUAAAUGGGGAGGUCCUGCUGGGUUCAUUCUCUGAGGCUGCUUUAGGGACAGAGGGCCUAGGCCGUGUACAGCUGAGAGCUGGUGCUGGGGCCUAAAGCGGGAGUUUCACGGGGCUAAUUUCAGCCUACACUAAGAACUUUCUUCCAGGUAUGCCCAAGAUGGACACUUUGCAGGAGUUUCAACAACCUCUGCAAGUGGAGGGAGGGGAGAUUAAAGUCGUGUUGGAUUGAGCAGUCCAAGUUUCUUUGACCUCUCCAAGCUUCAGUCUCCUUAUCUGUGAAAUGGGGAUAUUAAUACCUAGCUGUCAGAGGCAUUAGGAGUCAAGGAGCCCACAAAAGGUGCCCAGUAAGUGCCACUGUCCCCUCCUGCGGCCCCCAAGCUUCCCCUAUAACAGCCAAGCUUAGAGGGUAGAGUGGCAAAGGGGCCACCUCCAACAGCCCUGUGCCUGGGGAGCAGCCCCGCAGGCCCCGCUGCCUCCCUGACAUGGGGAGCUGGGGGGGUGGGUCAGGCUAGGGGUUCCAGACAGCUGCUUCCUGGUCUCAUGUGUCAGCUGGGCCAUGGAGUACCUUGAGUAACGGGGAGGCCCCACAAUGACGUCUUUCUUUUUUUUUUCUUUUUCACUGCACCGCGCAGCUUAGUUUCCCGGACAGGGAUGGAACCUGGGCCCCCUGCAGUGGAAGCGUGGAGUCCUAACCACUGGACUGCUAGGGAAGUCCCCCCGCACGAUGACUUUUUGAAAAGCACAGCUUUGAGGGCAGACACAGGCCUCUUGCCACCACUGACACUGGCCUCCAGGAGGCAGGGCUCACGUUUCAUCUUCGUAAUAACCUCACUGCUCUAAAUUGCAGCCCCACCCAGGCUUAGCCCAGAGCCUCCCUGCCCUCCAGAGCUUCCUGGCUCCCUGGUUAGGAAACGGCUCAAUGCCAGGACCCAGAGAGCUGGGGAAAUCUCACUCCAAUGGGCUCUGUCAUGGUGCUCCAGGCAGUUGGUAUUUAUAGAGCACCUACUCUGUGCUAGAGACUUUCCUUACCUUUGCUCAAAUAAUUCUUGAGGUGGGCCUACCAUCUCAUGUCACAGGAGAGAAAGCCAAGGCUCAGGGAGAAGCAGCAUCUGGGCUGAACAACAUUGGAGCUGGGGUUCUAUCCCCAGGGGUGAGCGUCCCCCGCAUCCUGCGUCCCCCGGGCAGGGCAGUGGAAGGAGCAUUGGCUUUGCAGCCCUGGAGUUUGGUGGGUGGUGGUGGGGACUCUGGGCUUUGCAGGAGGACAGAUCCAGGCCCAGUCCUGACUCUGCCCUCGUGUUUUUGCACAUUCUGUUCCCUCUGCUCACUAUGCUCUUCCUGGCAGACUCCUCUCUACCCUGGGUCUCUCUUGGCUUAAGUCUCACCCUUUCUGUGAAGCAGGGCAGUGUAGCCAGGGAUCCACAGGCUUGUUUUCAAAUCCUGCCCCCGCCGAGCUUGGAAGGGAGAAGAAUAAGGGACACAGCAUGCAAACAGCGAACAGCACGGGCAGAGGCAAGAGGUUGUGAGUAGGCCCUUGAGAGCCGCAUCAGCCGGGAGGGUGGAGCCAGGCAGAAGGGAGGAGGCCUGGGUUGGGCUGCCCUGUCACCAUUCUGGGCCUUUGCCCAGGCUGCCUUCCCUGCCUGGCCUACCCUUCCCCUUCUGCUGUCCAAGCCGUCAUGCCUUUAAGUCCCUGUGCAGUGGAGUUCCCUGUCCAUCUCUUCCUGAGCCACCCCUCUUCACAUCCUCCUUCCCCAGUGUUCCCACGGCCCCAGGUGCCACCUUGAUGUGAGCAGUCGGUGUCUCAGGUCACGCAGGUUCGUGUCCUGCCUGUGCGUGGUAGGAAGGUCCUUGACUCAAAUCUUGGCUCUGCCCCUCGCCCGUUGGGUGACCAGGGACAAGCUACUUCACUUCUCUGUUUUUUCCUCUGUAGGAUGACAGCAGCUGCCCCCAACUCACAGGGUUCUCUAGGGGAUUAAAUGAGGUUGUGCUUGUAAAGCAGCAAACCACACCGCCUCCGAAAGUCAGCCGGCUGGGACAUACACGUUCGUGCACGUCAUUAUUAGUAUUUGUGAGUCUCUUGAGGGUAGGGCCUUGUGUCUGGUGUCCUGCUCACUGCAAGGCAGAAGCAGGGGGCUUGGCGAUAGCUUCCAGAACAAAUGGGCAGCCUGUCCUCCUGUGCAAAUGUGAGAUCUAAUAAAACUACCAGUAACCUA
Delphinapterus leucas (beluga whale) is the source of this 3962-nucleotide non-coding RNA. Lineage: Eukaryota; Metazoa; Chordata; Mammalia; Artiodactyla; Monodontidae. The record is from RefSeq and is a predicted model, not a curated record.